RNAcentral lists this ribosomal RNA (289 nucleotides) under uncultured Methanosarcina sp. Its description in RNAcentral is "partial 16S ribosomal RNA". It matches the Rfam family "Archaeal small subunit ribosomal RNA", at positions 322 to 611 of the family's 1478-position model. Lineage: Archaea; Methanobacteriati; Methanobacteriota; Methanomicrobia; Methanosarcinales; Methanosarcinaceae. The record is from RNAcentral.
CCUACGGGGGGCAGCAGGCGCGAAAACUUUACAAUGCGGGAAACCGUGAUAAGGGGACACCGAGUGCCAGCAUCAUAUGUUGGCUGUCCAGAUGUGUAAAAUACAUCUGUUAGCAAGGGCCGGGCAAGACCGGUGCCAGCCGCCGCGGUAACACCGGCGGCCCGAGUGGUGAUCGUGAUUAUUGGGUCUAAAGGGUCCGUAGCCGGUUUGGUCAGUCCUCCGGGAAAUCUGACGGCUCAACCGUUAGGCUUUCGGUGGAUACUGCCAGACUUGGAACCGGGAGAGGUAA